GAUGAACGCUGGCGGCGUGCCUAAUACAUGCAAGUCGAGCGAACGGACGAGAAGCUUGCUUCUCUGAUGUUAGCGGCGGACGGGUGAGUAACACGUGGAUAACCUACCUAUAAGACUGGGAUAACUUCGGGAAACCGGAGCUAAUACCGGAUAAUAUUUUGAACCGCAUGGUUCAAAAGUGAAAGACGGUCUUGCUGUCACUUAUAGAUGGAUCUGCGCUGCAUUAGCUAGUUGGUAAGGUAACGGCUUACCAAGGCAACGAUGCAUAGCCGACCUGAGAGGGUGAUCGGCCACACUGGAGCUGAGACACGGUCCAGACUCCUCCGGGAGGCAGCAGUAGGGAAUCUUCCGCAAUGGGCGGAAGCAUGACGGAGCAACGCCGCGUGAGUGAUGAAGGUCUUCGGAUCGUAAAACUCUGUUAUUAGGGAAGAACAUAUGUGUAAGUAACUGUGCACAUCUUGACGGUACCUAAUCAGAAAGCCACGGCUAACUACGUG
RNAcentral lists this ribosomal RNA (497 nucleotides) under uncultured bacterium. RNAcentral describes it as "partial 16S ribosomal RNA". It matches the Rfam family "Bacterial small subunit ribosomal RNA", at positions 28 to 507 of the family's 1533-position model. The record is from RNAcentral.